ACUGAACGCUGGCGGUAGGCCUAACACAUGCAAGUCGAACGGCAGCACAGUAAGAGCUUGCUCUUACGGGUGGCGAGUGGCGGACGGGUGAGGAAUACAUCGGAAUCUACUUUUUCGUGGGGGAUAACGUAGGGAAACUUACGCUAAUACCGCAUACGACCUACGGGUGAAAGCAGGGGAUCUUCGGACCUUGCGCGAUUGAAUGAGCCGAUGUCGGAUUAGCUAGUUGGCGGGGUAAAGGCCCACCAAGGCGACGAUCCGUAGCUGGUCUGAGAGGAUGAUCAGCCACACUGGAACUGAGACACGGUCCAGGCUCCUACGGGAGGCAGCAGUGGGGAAUAUUGGACAAUGGGCGCAAGCCUGAUCCAGCCAUACCGCGUGGGUGAAGAAGGCCUUCGGGUUGUAAAGCCCUUUUGUUGGGAAAGAAAAGCAGCAGGUUAAUACCCCGCUGUUCUGACGGUACCCAAAGAAUAAGCACCGGCUAACUUCGUG
Molecule: ribosomal RNA, 492 nt
Filed under: uncultured bacterium
Lineage: Bacteria
Description: partial 16S ribosomal RNA
Rfam family: Bacterial small subunit ribosomal RNA
Source: RNAcentral